RNAcentral lists this ribosomal RNA (253 nucleotides) under uncultured bacterium. Its description in RNAcentral is "partial 16S ribosomal RNA". It matches the Rfam family "Bacterial small subunit ribosomal RNA", at positions 524 to 776 of the family's 1533-position model. The record is from RNAcentral.
UACGGAGGGGGCUAGCGUUGUUCGGAAUUACUGGGCGUAAAGCGCACGUAGGCGGAUUGCUAAGUCAGGGGUGAAAUCCUGGAGCUCAACUCCAGAACUGCCUUUGAUACUGGCGAUCUUGAGUCCGGGAGAGGUGAGUGGAACUGCGAGUGUAGAGGUGAAAUUCGUAGAUAUUCGCAAGAACACCAGUGGCGAAGGCGGCUCACUGGCCCGGUACUGACGCUGAGGUGCGAAAGCGUGGGGAGCAAACAGG